RNAcentral lists this ribosomal RNA (253 nucleotides) under uncultured bacterium. Its description in RNAcentral is "partial 16S ribosomal RNA". It matches the Rfam family "Bacterial small subunit ribosomal RNA", at positions 524 to 776 of the family's 1533-position model. The record is from RNAcentral.
UACGUAGGCAGCAAGCGUUGUUCGGAAUUACUGGGCGUAAAGAGUGUGUAGGCGGUGUUCUAAGUUUGUCGUGAAAUCUCCCGGCUUAACUGGGAGGGUGCGGCGAAAACUGGAAUGCUAGAGGAUGGGAGAGGUAAGCGGAAUUCCUGGUGUAGCGGUGAAAUGCGUAGAUAUCGGGAGGAACACCUGUGGCGAAAGCGGCGCACUGGACCACAACUGACGCUGAGGCGCGAAAGCUAGGGGAGCAAACAGG